Molecule: ribosomal RNA, 253 nt
Filed under: uncultured bacterium
Lineage: Bacteria
Description: partial 16S ribosomal RNA
Rfam family: Bacterial small subunit ribosomal RNA
Source: RNAcentral
UACAGAGGGGGCAAGCGUUGUUCGGAAUUACUGGGCGUAAAGGGCGCGUAGGCGGCCUUCUAAGUCGAACGUGAAAUCCCCGGGCUCAACCCGGGAACUGCGUCCGAUACUGGAAGGCUUGAAUACGGGAGAGGGAUGCGGAAUUCCAGGUGUAGCGGUGAAAUGCGUAGAUAUCUGGAGGAACACCGGUGGCGAAGGCGGCAUCCUGGACCGGCAUUGACGCUGAGGCGCGAAAGCUAGGGGAGCAAACGGG